GGUGAACGCUGGCGGUAGGCCUAACACAUGCAAGUCGAACGGCAGCACAGAGGAGCUUGCUCCUUGGGUGGCGAGUGGCGGACGGGUGAGGAAUACAUCGGAAUCUACUCUGUCGUGGGGGAUAACGUAGGGAAACUUACGCUAAUACCGCAUACGACCUACGGGUGAAAGCAGGGGACCUUCGGGCCUUGCGCGAUUGAAUGAGCCGAUGUCGGAUUAGCUAGUUGGCGGGGUAAAGGCCCACCAAGGCGACGAUCCGUAGCUGGUCUGAGAGGAUGAUCAGCCACACUGGAACUGAGACACGGUCCAGACUCCUACGGGAGGCAGCAGUGGGGAAUAUUGGACAAUGGGCGCAAGCCUGAUCCAGCCAUACCGCGUGGGUGAAGAAGGCCUUCGGGUUGUAAAGCCCUUUUGUUGGGAAAGAAAUCCAGCUGGCUAGUACCCUGGGGUCAUGACGGUACCGUAAGAAUAAGCACCGGCUAACUACGUGCCAGCCGCCGCGGUAA
Molecule: ribosomal RNA, 506 nt
Filed under: uncultured bacterium
Lineage: Bacteria
Description: partial 16S ribosomal RNA
Rfam family: Bacterial small subunit ribosomal RNA
Source: RNAcentral